Molecule: ribosomal RNA, 500 nt
Filed under: uncultured bacterium
Lineage: Bacteria
Description: partial 16S ribosomal RNA
Rfam family: Bacterial small subunit ribosomal RNA
Source: RNAcentral
AUUGAACGCUGGCGGAAUGCUUUACACAUGCAAGUCGAACGAUGAACCUUAGCUUGCUAAGGGGAUUAGUGGCGAACGGGUGAGUAAUGUAUCGGAACGUAUCCAAUAAUGGGGGAUAACUAGUCGAAAGAUUAGCUAAUACCGUAUACGUCCUACGGGAGAAAGCUAGGGACCUUCGGGCCUGGCGUUAAUGGAGCGGCCGAUAUCUGAUUAGCUAGUUGGUGGGGUAAAGGCUCACCAAGGCGACGAUCAGUAGCUGGUCUGAGAGGACGACCAGCCACACUGGAACUGAGACACGGUCCAGACUCCUACGGGAGGCAGCAGUGGGGAAUUUUGGACAAUGGGCGAAAGCCUGAUCCAGCCAUUCCGCGUGAGUGAAGAAGGCCUUCGGGUUGUAAAGCUCUUUCGCAAGGGAAGAAAACUUAAGCUCUAACAUAGCUUGAGGUUGACGGUACCUUGAUAAGAAGCACCGGCUAACUACGUGCCAGCAGCCGCAGUAA